AGAUUGAACGCUGGCGGCAGGCCUAACACAUGCGAGUCGAGCGGUAGAGAGGUGCUUGCAUCUCUUGAGAGCGGCGGACGGGUGAGUAAUGCCUAGGAAUCUGCCUAGUGGUGGGGGAUAACGUUCGGAAACGGACGCUAAUACCGCAUACGUCCUACGGGAGAAAGCGGGGGACCUUCGGGCCUCGCGCCAUUAGAUGAGCCUAGGUCGGAUUAGCUAGUUGGUGAGGUAAUGGCUCACCAAGGCGACGAUCCGUAACUGGUCUGAGAGGAUGAUCAGUCACACUGGAACUGAGACACGGUCCAGACUCCCUACGGGAGGCAGCAGUGGGGGAAUAGUUAGGACAAGUGGGACGAAAG
Molecule: ribosomal RNA, 359 nt
Filed under: uncultured soil bacterium
Lineage: Bacteria
Description: bacterial SSU rRNA
Rfam family: Bacterial small subunit ribosomal RNA
Source: RNAcentral